ACCCGCUGAACUUAAGCAUAUCAAUAAGCGGAGGAAAAGAAACCAACAGGGAUUGCCUUAGUAACGGCGAGUGAAGCGGCAAAAGCUCAAAUUUGAAAUCGGCCACCAGGUCGAGUUGUAAUUUGUAGAUUGUAUCUUGAGAGCGGAUUAAAGUCUGUUGGAACACAGCGCCUUAGAGGGUGACAGCCCCGUAAAAUCUAUUCUCAUUGUAAGAUACUUUCGAAGAGUCGAGUUGUUUGGGAAUGCAGCUCUAAGUGGGAGGUAAAUUCCUUCUAAAGCUAAAUAUUGACGAGAGACCGAUAGCGAACAAGUACUGUGAAGGAAAGAUGAAAAGCACUUUGAAAAGAGAGUGAAAAAGUACGUGAAAUUGUUAAAAGGGAAGGGUAUUGAAUCAGACUUGGUGCUGUUGUUCAACUGUGUUUCGGCAUAGUGUACUCAGCAGUACUAGGCCAAGGUGGGGUGUUUGGGAGUGAAAAAGAAGUUGGAACGUAACUCUUCGGAGUGUUAUAGCCUACUUUCAUAGCUCCUCAGGCGCCUCAGGACUGCGCUUCGGCAAGGACCUUGGCAUAAUGAUUCUAUACCGCCCGUCUUGAAACACGGACACAGGAG
RNAcentral lists this ribosomal RNA (609 nucleotides) under uncultured fungus. Its description in RNAcentral is "eukaryotic LSU rRNA". It matches the Rfam family "Eukaryotic large subunit ribosomal RNA", at positions 23 to 673 of the family's 3401-position model. Lineage: Eukaryota; Fungi. The record is from RNAcentral.